AAAUGUUGACAAAAUCGAUAUGUUGUCUCUAAGUGAAAAGUAUAUUAGUUUUUGACACAAUGGAUCUACUUAAAAAUAUCAAAAAUAAAGAAAUAUUAACUGAAGUUCUUCACCUUUCGGUGGACUAUUUGAUCGGAAACAUAAAUGACCAACAAGCACUUCGGUUAUCUCACAAAUAUGGAUUUCAAAAUUCGAAUGAUUUUCUUCUUGCCACAAAAUCUAUAUCACAGUAUUACAGUAUCUGCUGUUUAGAUCGUUGUGAUACGGAAAGCUGGAUAAUUGGAUCCAGAUUAAGACCUGAAUUGUGUCGCAUAGUAAUUGCAGUAUUAAACGCACGUCAACCAGAAGUAUUAAAACAUAUGAAUCAUUGUGAAUAUUCAAAAAGUAAUCAAAUCAUCAAGUCUUUUUUUUGGGAUAUUCGUUUAGUUAUCGGUGAUUGUGUUUUUGGUGGUUCCAUGAGUCAGGUAUUAAAACUAAGUUUAGUUCUCAAGCAACAAAAUGCAAAAAAUCAGAAUAUUGUCUUUCAAAUGAAUAAACAAAGUGC
This is a long non-coding RNA of Drosophila willistoni, 544 nucleotides long. RefSeq lists it as uncharacterized. NCBI's taxonomy places the organism in Eukaryota, Metazoa, Arthropoda, Insecta, Diptera, Drosophilidae. The transcript is spliced from 2 exons. The record is from RefSeq and is a predicted model, not a curated record.